This 499-nucleotide ribosomal RNA is filed under the name uncultured Glomeromycotina. RNAcentral describes it as "partial small subunit ribosomal RNA". It matches the Rfam family "Eukaryotic small subunit ribosomal RNA", at positions 591 to 1092 of the family's 1831-position model. Lineage: Eukaryota; Fungi; Glomeromycota. The record is from RNAcentral.
CCAAUAGCGUAUAUUAAAGUUGUUGCAGUUAAAAAGCUCGUAGUUGAACUUCGGGAUCAAUUAGUUGGUCAUGCCUUGGUAUGUACUGAUUUUAUUGGUUCUCACCUUCUAAAGAACUAUAAUGUCAUUUAUUUGAUGUUAUAGGGAAUUAGGACUGUUACCUUGAAAAAAUUAGAGUGUUUAAAGCAGGCUCACGCUUGAAUACAUUAGCAUGGAAUAAUGAAAUAGGACAUCGCAUUCUAUUUUGUUGGUUUCUAGGAUCGAUGUAAUGAUUAAUAGGGAUAGUUGGGGGCAUUAGUAUUCAAUUGUCAGAGGUGAAAUUCUUGGAUUUAUUGAAGACUAACUACUGCGAAAGCAUUUGCCAAGGAUGUUUUCAUUAAUCAAGAACGAAAGUUGGGGGAUCGAAGACGAUCAGAUACCGUCGUAGUCUUAACCAUAAACUAUGCCGACUAGGGAUCGGAUGAUGUUGAUUUUUUAAUGACUCAUUCGGCACCUUACG